GAAAUGCGAUACGUAGUGUGAAUUGCAGAAACACGUGAACCAUCGAAUCUUUGAACGCACAUUGCGCUUGACCCUUCGGGGAGAGCACAUCUGCCUGAGCGACGGUUUUCCCCUCAAUCCCCCCUCCCUCCGUGGAGGUCUGGCCGAUUGGAUCUGGCCUUCCGAGCUGUUCCGCCCGUUUCACGACGGCUGCAGCUGGGUCGGCUGAAGCGCAGAAGGCUUGAGCAAGGACCCUCCAUUACAGGGGCACGGCAAGGUAGAGAGUGUAGGCACUUCGGUGCUGAGCCUCCCUUACCGCCGAUCACUGCCCUGGAGCUUGGUCAUCCCACUUGUCUCUUGCUUUGCAGGAAAACAUCUAUCCUUUCGUCCUCAGUUCAGGUGAGACUACCCGCUGAACUUAAGC
This 403-nucleotide unclassified non-coding RNA is filed under the name plant metagenome. RNAcentral describes it as "partial contains 5.8S ribosomal RNA, internal transcribed spacer 2, and large subunit ribosomal RNA". The stretch from base 1 to 104 matches the Rfam family "5.8S ribosomal RNA", at positions 50 to 154 of the family's 154-position model. The record is from RNAcentral.